This 597-nucleotide ribosomal RNA is filed under the name Salinivibrio sp. TA42. RNAcentral's name for it is "bacterial SSU rRNA". It matches the Rfam family "Bacterial small subunit ribosomal RNA", at positions 199 to 775 of the family's 1533-position model. The record is from RNAcentral. Lineage: Bacteria; Pseudomonadati; Pseudomonadota; Gammaproteobacteria; Vibrionales; Vibrionaceae.
GACCAAAGGUGGCCUCUACAUGUAAGCUAUCGCGUUGGGAUGGGCCCAGUUAGGAUUAGCUAGUUGGUAAGGUAAUGGCUUACCAAGGCAACGAUCCUUAGCUGGUUUGAGAGGAUGAUCAGCCACACUGGGACUGAGACACGGCCCAGACUCCUACGGGAGGCAGCAGUGGGGAAUAUUGCACAAUGGGGGAGACCCUGAUGCAGCCAUGCCGCGUGUGUGAAGAAGGCCUUCGGGUUGUAAAGCACUUUCAGCAGUGAGGAAGGUGGUGUACUUAAUACGUGCAUUGCUUGACGUUAGCUGCAGAAGAAGCACCGGCUAACUCCGUGCCAGCAGCCGCGGUAAUACGGAGGGUGCGAGCGUUAAUCGGAAUUACUGGGCGUAAAGCGCAUGCAGGCGGUUUGUUAAGUCAGAUGUGAAAGCCCGGGGCUCAACCUCGGAACCGCAUUUGAAACUGGCAGGCUAGAGUCUUGUAGAGGGGGGUAGAAUUUCAGGUGUAGCGGUGAAAUGCGUAGAGAUCUGAAGGAAUACCAGUGGCGAAGGCGGCCCCCUGGACAAAGACUGACGCUCAGAUGCGAAAGCGUGGGUAGCAAACAG